Camellia sinensis is the source of this 755-nucleotide long non-coding RNA. RefSeq lists it as uncharacterized. The record is from RefSeq and is a predicted model, not a curated record. Lineage: Eukaryota; Viridiplantae; Streptophyta; Magnoliopsida; Ericales; Theaceae.
CCAACAGUUGAGAUGAUUUCCCUAGAAUCAUACAACCUAUUAUCUUCACAUUCAUUCACUGUCUUCACUCUCUCUCUCUCUUACUCUGACUCUCACUCUCCUCUUCCAUUUUCCUCCUCUAUCAUUGAAACACCCAUAUCUCUCUCUCUCUCUCUCUCUCUCUCUCUCUCUGUGUGUCUUUGUCUUCACUCUCCCUCUCACUGUCUCACUCUUCUCUUUUGUUUUCCUCCUCCAUCAUGGGGACGUCUCUCUGUGUGGGUCUUUGAGCUCAAGAGCAGUAUACUCUUCGAUCUGUCAUGGUGUUGUCUCCGAUCUCUCUCUCUCUCUCUCUCGUCAAACCUCUCCGAUUUGUCUCUCUCUCUCUCUCUCUCUUUCUGUAGUCAAACCUCUCAGUUGAAGAAGAAGCCCUCGAGGUCGAUCCAGGUUCACUCAUGCAUUUUCAUUGUUCUAGGCCCAAUAGCAACUACCACAGUUAAGAUGUUGCAAUUGAAGUACUUGAGUGACUUAGAGAUGCGGUGGAUUGACCUUAAAAGAUUAUUUCCCAAUUUGAUUUACUUAGAGAAAGUAGAAUGUCCCAGCUAAUUACUUGCUUUCCGUGUGAUGAGAAUGGUGUUUGGAGGGGCAGAGGCAAAAUUUAGAAAUUGCAAAUUGAUGUCUUGAGAUAUAGUAGUAAUUUUCUUCUCUCAUGACAGACUAGCUCUACUUAUUCAUUUGUUGAAUUAAAUGUAGUCCAUGACUUCAGGGUCAUUCAUCAA